CGAAGGGUGCAAGCGUUAAUCGGAAUUACUGGGCGUAAAGCGCGCGUAGGUGGUUUGUUAAGUUGAAUGUGAAAGCCCCGGGCUCAACCUGGGAACUGCAUCCAAAACUAGGCAAGCUAGAGUAUGGCAGAGGGUGGUGGAAUUUCCUGUGUAGCGGUGAAAUGCGUAGAUAUAGGAAGGAACACCAGUGGCGAAGGCGACCACCUGGGCUAAUACUGACACUGAGGUGCGAAAGCGUGGGGAGCAAACAGGAUU
RNAcentral lists this ribosomal RNA (255 nucleotides) under uncultured bacterium. Its description in RNAcentral is "partial 16S ribosomal RNA". It matches the Rfam family "Bacterial small subunit ribosomal RNA", at positions 526 to 779 of the family's 1533-position model. The record is from RNAcentral.